This 225-nucleotide long non-coding RNA is filed under the name Gossypium raimondii (Peruvian cotton). RNAcentral's name for it is "long non-coding RNA (GRAI_LNC010035)". The record is from RNAcentral. Lineage: Eukaryota; Viridiplantae; Streptophyta; Magnoliopsida; Malvales; Malvaceae.
GGGGGCGAGGACUAAUGGAGCCUCUGAGCGGCGCGAAAGCUAGGGUUAAAACCCUAGCAGGGAGUUGAAGCUUUUUUAUUUUAUUUUUUUAUUUUAUUCUGGUUCAUACAAAUGAUUUUUUUAUGUAGAAACUUGGUUUAAAUAAUAAUGCAAUACGACGCCGUUUUGAGGUAGGGGCACCAGUGCCAAAAUGGCGCCGUUUGGUCCUUUGACCUGCACGAUGAC